Molecule: ribosomal RNA, 484 nt
Filed under: uncultured bacterium
Lineage: Bacteria
Description: partial 16S ribosomal RNA
Rfam family: Bacterial small subunit ribosomal RNA
Source: RNAcentral
AUUGAACGCUGGCGGCAGGCCUAACACAUGCGAGUCGAGCGGAUGAAGGGAGCUUGCUCCUGGAUUCAGCGGCGGACGGGUGAGUAAUGCCUAGGAAUCUGCCUGGUAGUGGGGGAUAACGUCCGGAAACGGGCGCUAAUACCGCAUCCGUCCUGAGGGAGAAAGUGGGGGAUCUUCGGACCUCACGCUAUCAGAUGAGCCUAGGUCGGAUUAGCUAGUUGGUGGGGUAAAGGCCUACCAAGGCGACGAUCCGUAACUGGUCUGAGAGGAUGAUCAGUCACACUGGAACUGAGACACGGUCCAGACUCCUACGGGAGGCAGCAGUGGGGAAUAUUGGACAAUGGGCGAAAGCCUGGUCCAGCCAUGCCGCGUGUGUGAAGAAGGUCUUCGGAUUGUAAAGCACUUUAAGUUGGGAGGAAGGGCAGUAAGUUAAUACCUUGCUGUUUUGACGUUACCAACAGAAUAAGCACCGGCUAACUUCGUG